RNAcentral lists this ribosomal RNA (677 nucleotides) under uncultured Pseudomonadota bacterium. RNAcentral describes it as "bacterial SSU rRNA". It matches the Rfam family "Bacterial small subunit ribosomal RNA", at positions 57 to 723 of the family's 1533-position model. The record is from RNAcentral. Lineage: Bacteria; Pseudomonadati; Pseudomonadota.
GCAAGUCGAACGGUAACAGGAAGCAGCUUGCUGCUUCGCUGACGAGUGGCGGACGGGUGAGUAAUGUCUGGGAAACUGCCUGAUGGAGGGGGAUAACUACCGGAAACGGUAGCUAAUACCGCAUAAUGUCGCAAGACCAAAGAGGGGGACCUUCGGGCCUCUUGCCAUCGGAUGUGCCCAGAUGGGAUUAGCUUGUUGGCGGGGUAACGGCUCACCAAGGCGACGAUCCCUAGCUGGUCUGAGAGGAUGACCAGCCACACUGGAACUGAGACACGGUCCAGACUCCUACGGGAGGCAGCAGUGGGGAAUAUUGCACAAUGGGCGCAAGCCUGAUGCAGCCAUGCCGCGUGUAUGAAGAAGGCCUUCGGGUUGUAAAGUACUUUCAGCGGGGAGGAAGGGAGUAAAGUUAAUACCUUUGCUCAUUGACGUUACCCGCAGAAGAAGCACCGGCUAACUCCGUGCCAGCAGCCGCGGUAAUACGGAGGGUGCAAGCGUUAAUCGGAAUUACUGGGCGUAAAGCGCACGCAGGCGGUUUGUUAAGUCAGAUGUGAAAUCCCCGGGCUCAACCUGGGAACUGCAUCUGAUACUGGCAAGCUUGAGUCUCGUAGAGGGGGGUAGAAUUCCAGGUGUAGCGGUGAAAUGCGUAGAGAUCUGGAGGAAUACCGGUGGCGAAGGCG